CAAUAGCGUAUAUUAAAGUUGUUGCGGUUAAAAAGCUCGUAGUUGGAUUUCUGCCGAGAACGACCGGUCCGCCCUCUGGGUGAGUAUCUGGCUUGGCCUGGGCAUCUUCUUGGAGAACGUAGCUGCACUUGACUGUGUGGUGCGGUAUCCAGGACUUUUACUUUGAGGAAAUUAGAGUGUUUCAAGCAGGCAUGCGCCUUGAAUACAUUAGCAUGGAAUAACGCUAUAGGACUCUGGUCCUAUUGUGUUGGUCUUCGGGACCGGAGUAAUGAUUAAGAGGGACAGUUGGGGGCAUUCGUAUUUCAUUGUCAGAGGUGAAAUUCUUGGAUUUAUGAAAGACGAACUUCUGCGAAAGCAUUUGCCAAGGAUGUUUUCAUUGAUCAAGAACGAAAGUUAGGGGAUCGAAGAUGAUUAGAUACCGU
Molecule: ribosomal RNA, 422 nt
Filed under: uncultured eukaryote
Lineage: Eukaryota
Description: bacterial SSU rRNA
Rfam family: Eukaryotic small subunit ribosomal RNA
Source: RNAcentral